AAAAAUAAUUGCAUCAUAAUUACGGCAAUAUAAUUACAUAGAGCCAAAUAGGCAACAAAAAUAGCAAUAAUUAAUUUACACCCAAACAGUCCCUGGCCUACUGUUCAGAUGAAAGAGGAUUAACCACUCAGUAUGUGCAUCUGCAAGGUAGUCCAGAGUCCAUAAAGCUAGUAAGACUCAGACCAUGGCAAAGUAAUACAAUAUAUAUAUGUAGCAAGUGGGCAAGUAGUCGUAGUUUGGUGCCUACUCCCUCUCCAGUUGCACAGUUAGUCUCUCUUCCUGUCACACACUACGUCACUAAUUGGGGAAUGGAAUACGAUUGAUUAGGCUACCUGACGUAUUACCCACAGGCUAUGUAUAGACACCUGGGGUCCUAAAGCCGGUAGCUUGUUGUCAACACCACUGGUUCUAGGGCUGUGUAGCAGAGUCACAGGUGCUGCGUGAAAGCAACAGGUAUGUCUGAGCAAAGGUUUAUUUAAGUUCUUCCGUCACUGAUGAAUAGCUUGCUAAGUGGCUACUUGUUUUAACAAUUGUAUAGGAGGACGAGCCGCUGUAUGUUGAUGUGCAUGUGGGAGAAUGACGCCGUGUUGUUGUGCGUAACAAGUGUCUGCUGGGCACUGUUACCGUAGCAGUGAGGGGAGUUGUUCUCAGGAAGCCAUCAGCUACAGUGUUCGUAGCCUUGUUGAAAAGUGAUAGACCCUCGCAGCUACACAGGGAUGCUAGUUGCUGUUCUCUUUUAAUGUGUGUUUGAUGCAUUGGUGCUGCUUAUAGUUUGUUUACUUUUCUUUUUUGUUCCUCUAGCCUAUCGGCCUAAGUAGCUUGUGUAGGUACUACCUAUUUAAUGUGAGCCGCAGGCUAGAGUGGAUUUAUUUUGUUUUUUUCUUUUUUGCUGUACUUCCAGUUUUUGUGUCUCCCUCCCCCCUCCACAGCGAAUAGCCUCGGUGCUUAUAAGGCCCAUUAGUACCUGACCUUGGAUAGCCGGUCUCUGUAGUUUUUCUCACUCUAGUAGCCUACAGAGAUUGCAGUGUGCAUGUAGUUUGAACUCUUAAUUGCCGUGUCACAUAUCACAGAGUGUCUUGGAUAUUGUAGUGCAUUUUCCCUGAAUCUAAA
Molecule: long non-coding RNA, 1110 nt
Organism: Clupea harengus (Atlantic herring)
Lineage: Eukaryota; Metazoa; Chordata; Actinopteri; Clupeiformes; Clupeidae
Exons: 3
Source: RefSeq, a predicted model, not a curated record